Molecule: long non-coding RNA, 1322 nt
Filed under: Anas platyrhynchos platyrhynchos (common mallard)
Lineage: Eukaryota; Metazoa; Chordata; Aves; Anseriformes; Anatidae
Description: lncRNA (ENSAPLG00000030422.1)
Source: RNAcentral
CUCAGGAUGAUCUUGUAGAAGUGUUUAGGGGAUCAAUGUUCUGCAAGAACCCGUUGCCUCUCAAACUUUCCCUUUUGAGUGUUUGAAAAUAAAUGAACCCAAGUAUGGUGGGGACUGGGCUGGAUCAAGUUCGUUCACAUCUCCUGCGUCUGAAAACAAGGAUGGGUUUUGCGAUGCAGCAGGAAGUCUUUUGGAACUUUCUGCUUUAGUAUGGUACACUUCAGAUUCCUUAAUCUCUGAUGGACAUUCAUCUCACCGAGCUUCCCAGCCAGGUAUUUCCAUGAAGAAAUGGGAAGACUUGAGAAACAAGGACUUCAUCUGACAAAGCAGAGUGAAAGAAAAGGAAGAAGAAAAGGUGGAGUGCCCUGUAAGUGGCAUAUUCCCUCCUGGUUCAGUUAAAAAAAGACAUUAAUCACAGUCAAAGCUGAGAAGGAACAGGCAAGUGCAGACAUAGAAAACAGGAGAAAGACAAAAUGAAGCAGCCACAUCAAUGGGUUGAAUCUCAUCACCACCAGCUUCUCCAUUUUUCCAUUCCACUGUGGAAUCUAAAGAGUAAUGAAGAUUAACAGCAAAACCAAAUCCCCUAACCUUUUGGAGUUUGUAAAUUAUUUGUCAUUGCAAACCUAACAAACAGAUCUGGAAGUGAAAAUUUCUUGUAGAGUCUUGUUCACGUUCCCAAGGCAAUGAUCUCUCAUUGCUAUAAUAGAGUUUAACCACAGAUGUUGGUUUAGUUUUUGAUAUCACUGCUUACAGAUUUUGAAACUCCCAUUGAUUUCAGUUAAUCAGUGUAGAAUUUUUUAUGUCCUUUAAUUUAAACAUAUGUUAAGGACUUUUCUGGCUCAUGGAGUCACAGGGCUGGAGAGGCAUUUGGAAGUCGUCUGCUCCAUCCUCUGCACCAAGGCUAUAUGAGCUCUAACUGUCUCUUUCCUGACAUACGUCUGUUUAAUCUGUCUGCAAGGGCUGACAUGAGGAGAGUUGAAAUGGGAAAGAAGAAGACAUGACUUUGAAGGAGAUGAAAAAGGAUUUAAAAUGCAACUUACAUAGUUUCAACCAAGCUUUUCUUUGGCUCGAUCAACAGAAAGGCAUUACCAGUGUGUAUCGCUCUGCUUCUGCCAGGUAGUGAGAUAUAAGUGGUGGGGUCUUAUCACUUUGAACUUCCUUCUACAUCUUUUUCAUCUCAAUUUCAAAACCUGUGAGGUUGUACUGUGGUCCUUUUUGACAACUCAGCAAAUGUUAAUGUCUUCAGAAAACAGCCUGAAAACAGGCACUCUUUCCUUUGACAGCAAUGUGCAAUAAUAGUAACACCCUUUCCUGAGCCUGCA